Long non-coding RNA from Astatotilapia calliptera (eastern happy), 1909 nucleotides. NCBI's taxonomy places the organism in Eukaryota, Metazoa, Chordata, Actinopteri, Cichliformes, Cichlidae. The record is from Ensembl.
GGCUACUUUUAAGAGUUUUCAGUCUUUUGUUUACUACUUAUAGUAUUUUUUUUCUGCAUGCUAAUAUUCUGUUACUAAUAUAACACAUAAGAGGUUUUAUAAUAUUUGAUUUGUCCUCAUCUCUGCAUACACCUUCAGCCGUCUGUGUUAUAUUCAGUGUAUUUUUGAUGAGCUUUGGCUCACGUGAAGCUAAGAUUUCAACGUAUUUGGCAUUUUAUUGAACUCAACUUCUUUCAUGGGUGCAACAUUUUAAAAGUGAAGAUUCUUCUCAGAUUUUCUGUAGUAGCUCUGUUGCUGGUACCUUCUUAUAUCCACGGUUGUAUCUCAGGGAUUUUUUACACUUAUUUCGUUCAUUGAUUCUUGUUUCAGUGAACAUUUGUGCAGUAUAGCAAUAGCAUACCUGUGAUAACGUUCCCUUCCUGUGUAUCCCAACAAGUCUUUGGUCAAACCUGUUCAGUGGAGAUCAAUUGGGGCCACGUGCGGCACUGAGCCUUUGGCUUCACGCCUCUUCGUUAGCUACAGCGAGGGCAGAGGCAGCUUAAAGAGGUCAAACAAAAUGUGAAGGUGAUCCAUCACAGUUCAGAUCAGAAGUCCACAUCUUUAGAAAUGUGACACCUGUUCUCACCAAAGAGCACUGAUAAGCAACCAAGCUAUUGUGAAAACUGCAACUUUAACCCUUAAAAUGAUGAGAAGAAAAUCAAACUUUGCAGAAUCGAUACUGGACAUUACAAUUAUGGGAAAUACUAAUAGGCCUACCUGAAGUUCCUCUUUAGGAAAUCAAGGCACCAAAGAAAACUGACACAGAUAAAAAAAAAAUUAAAAAAAGAAAAACAUCAUAAAGACAGCAAAGAUUUGUCCUCAGAGACACAGGGAAUGCUUUUAGUGCUGAAAAAUAAAGAAAAAAGAUAAUUUACUACCCGUGAGAAUUAAAAUGCCCUCUAGUCAAAGACCCGCCUGUUACACUGCACUGUCUGGACCUUUGUUAAGAAACCUGAGCUUCCUGCAUGGCGCCAUCCAUAUGAACUGUUGUGCUAAGCCAGUGUAUUGUCACAUUGGUUGAUUAAUGUUGCCACUCUCAACACUUGAGCCUAAGAGCUUUCCACACUGCCACAACUAUCCUGAUUAUGGUGACCACACUGAGGGUGGUCUCUGAAGUUGGACCAUAGUAAAGUCAGGUAAUGUGUUAACUUGUUAAUUCUUGACACAAAGGGAAUGGCUGAGUUCAUAUGAUGAACAUUUACAUUAUGCGCUGGUGGAAAGUAGAGUUAUUAUUACAACAUGUUUUGGCUUUUUUCCCCACAAUUUUAAACCAUGUUUCCUUAUAAAAUGUGGACUUUAUGUAAAGUUUUGAGACAAGUUGAUCUUGACAGGCCGAUAAGAGUGAGAUGUGUAGUGAUUUUGAUGGCGUACUGGUCUUUCACACUGAAGGCAAAACUGUUGGUAUACAAGAUUUACAAGGCUUUCGUCGCCUAUGAGCAUGUGCUGUGGGUAGUGACUGAGGACAAAGUUCACAGAAUCGAGUGUCGGAAAUGAUGCUCAGGUUUUAGUAAAAGGCUUCACUUUUGUGAAAAUGACAGUUGGCUAAUUUACUGACAUCAAAAUGCACUAAAUUAAAAAGUACAAGGGUGCGACAAAGCCUCUCAGCAACCAGCGCACUUAGCGGCUUCACAGUAGAGGGCUGUUGACCCAACCAGCUCUAAACUGUAAUUUCAUGUUGCUGUGUGAAUGUGAGGCAUGAUUAGGUUCAAAAGGGACACCUGUAACUCUUCUUUAUCCUUUUUCCAGUUGUUAAAAUGUUGCCUGCUUUGUACUGACAGGAAGGCAGAGAGCUUUAGUGUAUGAGUCGACAUAUCGGCGCAGUGCUUGUUAUCAUGCUUGAUCACAUUCUGUUGUCUGUCAGCUGGUUCAC